RNAcentral lists this ribosomal RNA (693 nucleotides) under uncultured Bacilli bacterium. Its description in RNAcentral is "bacterial SSU rRNA". It matches the Rfam family "Bacterial small subunit ribosomal RNA", at positions 66 to 741 of the family's 1533-position model. Lineage: Bacteria; Bacillati; Bacillota; Bacilli. The record is from RNAcentral.
GCGAACGGACGAGAAGCUUGCUUCUCUGAUGUUAGCGGCGGACGGGUGAGUAACACGUGGAUAACCUACCUAUAAGACUGGGAUAACUUCGGGAAACCGGAGCUAAUACCGGAUAAUAUUUUGAACCGCAUGGUUCAAAAGUGAAAGACGGUCUUGCUGUCACUUAUAGAUGGAUCCGCGCUGCAUUAGCUAGUUGGUAAGGUAACGGCUUACCAAGGCAACGAUGCAUAGCCGACCUGAGAGGGUGAUCGGCCACACUGGAACUGAGACACGGUCCAGACUCCUACGGGAGGCAGCAGUAGGGAAUCUUCCGCAAUGGGCGAAAGCCUGACGGAGCAACGCCGCGUGAGUGAUGAAGGUCUUCGGAUCGUAAAACUCUGUUAUUAGGGAAGAACAUAUGUGUAAGUAACUGUGCACAUCUUGACGGUACCUAAUCAGAAAGCCACGGCUAACUACGUGCCAGCAGCCGCGGUAAUACGUAGGUGGCAAGCGUUAUCCGGAAUUAUUGGGCGUAAAGCGCGCGUAGGCGGUUUUUUAAGUCUGAUGUGAAAGCCCACGGCUCAACCGUGGAGGGUCAUUGGAAACUGGAAAACUUGAGUGCAGAAGAGGAAAGUGGAAUUCCAUGUGUAGCGGUGAAAUGCGCAGAGAUAUGGAGGAACACCAGUGGCGAAGGCGACUUUCUGGUCUGUAACU